AGAGUUUGAUCCUGGCUCAGGAUGAACGCUGGCGGCGUGCCUAACACAUGCAAGUCGAGCGAUUCUCUUCGGAGAAGAGCGGCGGACGGGUGAGUAACGCGUGGGUAACCUGCCCUGUACACACGGAUAACAUACCGAAAGGUAUGCUAAUACGAGAUAAUAUGCUUUUAUCGCAUGGUAGAAGUAUCAAAGCUCUGGCGGUACAGGAUGGACCCGCGUCUGAUUAGCUAGUUGGUGAGGUAACGGCUCACCAAGGCGACGAUCAGUAGCCGACCUGAGAGGGUGAUCGGCCACAUUGGAACUGAGACACGGUCCAAACUCCUACGGGAGGCAGCAGUGGGGAAUAUUGCACAAUGGGCGAAAGCCUGAUGCAGCAACGCCGCGUGAGCGAUGAAGGCCUUCGGGUCGUAAAGCUCUGUCCUCAAGGAAGAUAAUGACGGUACUUGAGGAGGAAGCCCCGGCUAACUACGUGCCAGCAGCCGCGGUAAUACGUAGGGGGCUAGCGUUAUCCGGAAUUACUGGGCGUAAAGGGUGCGUAGGUGGUUUCUUAAGUCAGAGGUGAAAGGCUACGGCUCAACCGUAGUAAGCCUUUGAAACUGGGAAACUUGAGUGCAGGAGAGGAGAGUGGAAUUCCUAGUGUAGCGGUGAAAUGCGUAGAUAUUAGGAGGAACACCAGUUGCGAAGGCGGCUCUCUGGACUGUAACUGACACUGAGGCACGAAAGCGUGGGGAGCAAACAGGAUUAGAUACCCUGGUAGUCCACGCCGUAAACGAUGAGUACUAGCUGUCGGAGGUUACCCCCUUCGGUGGCGCAGCUAACGCAUUAAGUACUCCGCCUGGGAAGUACGCUCGCAAGAGUGAAACUC
Molecule: ribosomal RNA, 865 nt
Filed under: uncultured Clostridium sp.
Lineage: Bacteria; Bacillati; Bacillota; Clostridia; Eubacteriales; Clostridiaceae
Description: bacterial SSU rRNA
Rfam family: Bacterial small subunit ribosomal RNA
Source: RNAcentral